GAUCCUGCCGGACCCCACUGCUAUCGGGAUGGGACUAAGACAUGCUAGUUGAGUGCCUUCCAGCCAUGUGGGAGGCGCAGCGCACAGCUCAGUAACACGUGGCUAACCUGCCCUUAGGACGAGACCAACCCCGGGAAACUGGGGAUAAUCCUCGAUAGGUGAAGAACUCUGGAAUGAGUCUUUGCUUAAAAGGCGUUGGAUCAUGCUUUCAGCGCCGCCUAAGGAUGGGGCCGCGACCGAUCAGGUUGUUGGUGAGGUAAUGGCCCACCAAGCCUUUUACCGGUGCGGGCCGUGAGAGCGGGAGCCCGGAGAUGGGCACUGAGACAAGGGCCCAGGUCCUACGGGGCGCAGCAGCCGCGAAAACUUUGCAAUACACGAAAGUGUGACAGGGUCAUCCCGAGUGCCGACCGCUGAGGUUGGCUUUUACCCAGUCUAGAAAGCUGGGGGAAUAAGGAGAGGGCAAGUCUGGUGUCAGCCGCCGCGGUAAUACCAAGCUCUCCGAGUGGUGUGGACGUUUAUUGGGCCUAAAGCAUCCGUAGCUGGCUGAACAAGUCCCCUGUUAAACCCACUGAUUUAAUCGUUGGUCUGCGGGGGAUACUGCUCGGCUAGGGGACGAGAGAGGCAGACGGUAUUCCCGGGGUAGGGGUGAAAUCCUAUAAUCCCGAGAAGACCACCAGUGGCGAAGGCUGUCUGCUAGAACGCGCCCGACGGUGAGGGAUGAAAGCUGGGGGAGCGAACCGGAUUAGAUACCCGGGUAGUCCCAGCUGUAAACGAUGCAGACUAGGUGUUUGGACGGCCACGUGCCGUUCUAGUGCCGCAGGGAAGCUGUUAAGUCUGCCGCCUGGGGAGUACGAUCGCAAGAUUGAAACUUAAAGGAAUUGGCGGGGGAGCACCACAAGGGGUGAAGCUUGCGGUUUAAUUGGAGUCAACGCCGGG
This 936-nucleotide ribosomal RNA is filed under the name uncultured archaeon. Its description in RNAcentral is "bacterial SSU rRNA". It matches the Rfam family "Archaeal small subunit ribosomal RNA", at positions 10 to 922 of the family's 1478-position model. The record is from RNAcentral.